UGGGGAAUAUUGCGCAAUGGGGGAAACCCUGACGCAGCAACGCCGCGUGAGUGAUGAAGGCUUUCGAGUCGUAAAACUCUGUCUUUGGGGACGAAUAAUGACGGUACCCAAGGAGGAAGCCCCGGCUAACUACGUGCCAGCAGCCGCGGUAAUACGUAGGGGGCAAGCGUUGUCCGGAAUCACUGGGCGUAAAGGGCGCGUAGGCGGUUUGUUAAGUCAGGUGUGAAAGUUUUCAGCUUAACUGGAAAAGUGCACUUGAAACUAACUUACUUGAGUACUGGAGAGGUAAGCGGAAUUCCUAGUGUAGCGGUGAAAUGCGUAGAUAUUAGGAAGAGCACCGGUGGCGAAGGCGGCUUACUGGACAGAGACUGACGCUGAGGCGCGAAAGCGUGGGGAGCAAACGG
Molecule: ribosomal RNA, 404 nt
Filed under: uncultured bacterium
Lineage: Bacteria
Description: bacterial SSU rRNA
Rfam family: Bacterial small subunit ribosomal RNA
Source: RNAcentral